Molecule: transfer RNA, 72 nt
Filed under: Bos taurus (domestic cattle)
Lineage: Eukaryota; Metazoa; Chordata; Mammalia; Artiodactyla; Bovidae
Also listed under: 5 other names
Rfam family: tRNA
About the family: Transfer RNA (tRNA) molecules are approximately 80 nucleotides in length. Their secondary structure includes four short double-helical elements and three loops (D, anti-codon, and T loops).
Source: Rfam by way of RNAcentral
UCCCUUGUAGCUCAGAUGGUAAAGAAUCUGCCUGCAACACAGGAGACCCAGGUUCAAUUCCUGGGUUGGGAA